GCAUCCUCCUCCUAGGAACAUACUUUGAAUUGUACAAAAGUGAGGAGUGGCCAUUACAGAUCAGUACUUCAGCCCCUUAAUAUAGAAGUCUGUGGGCAUCUAAGAAACGAACCCACCCAUAAAUAAGAGAGGAAGUCGAAGGAAGAGAGGGAUUCGAACCUUGAACAUUGAAUCUCGUCAAGGAGAGAUAGUAACCGCUAGGCCAAACUUGGAUUGUCUCUCUUCAGCUUGCUUUAUAAUAUGUUUCUAGCGAUAGACCAUUAUCAUUAUGCUUUUCACAGCAAACAAUUUCAACUUGUCAAAUGACAUGAUCUUCCUGGUUGUUCAGUGAUUUUUAUUUUUAUUUUUAUCACAUAGAUUUCAUUUAAACAUUA
Molecule: non-coding RNA, 374 nt
Organism: Theobroma umbraticum
Lineage: Eukaryota; Viridiplantae; Streptophyta; Magnoliopsida; Malvales; Malvaceae
Source: RefSeq, a predicted model, not a curated record